RNAcentral lists this unclassified non-coding RNA (337 nucleotides) under uncultured Paraglomeraceae. RNAcentral describes it as "bacterial SSU rRNA". It matches the Rfam family "Eukaryotic small subunit ribosomal RNA", at positions 548 to 886 of the family's 1831-position model. Lineage: Eukaryota; Fungi; Glomeromycota; Glomeromycetes; Paraglomerales. The record is from RNAcentral.
UUGGAGGGCAAGUCUGGUGCCAGCAGCCGCGGUAAUUCCAGCUCCAAUAGCGUAUAUUAAAGUUGUUGCAGUUAAAAAGCUCGUAGUUGAACCUUAGGCCCGUGCGGGUGGUCCGUCCUCUGGGCGAGCACUGCGUCGUCGCGGGUCUCACCUUCUGGCGAGCGUGGAUGCCAUUCACUUGGUGUCCGCGGGAACCAGGACCUUUACCUUGAAAAAAUUAGAGUGCUCAAAGCGGGCUCGUACGCUUGAAUACAUUAGCAUGGAAUAAUGAAAUAGGACGACGGUUCUAUUUUGUUGGUUUCCGGGACAGUCGUAAUGAUUAAUAGGGAUAGUUGGG